This is a non-coding RNA of Camellia sinensis, 251 nucleotides long. NCBI's taxonomy places the organism in Eukaryota, Viridiplantae, Streptophyta, Magnoliopsida, Ericales, Theaceae. The record is from RefSeq and is a predicted model, not a curated record.
GAACAAGGAGAAGAGAGGGAGAGUUGCGGUAAUUCCAGCCGUUAUUGUUGGAGGUGAUGUCGGUUGUCGCGCUGCCAAGUUAAACUAGAAACAAAAAUCAAAUCAAAUAAAAACUGAUGGCCUGUCCUUGGAUCAAGCAAGGAUUUUUCGGUAGUGUUUUUUGAUUGGUUCCUUACCCAGCCAAAUCCUACAUCAUUCUGUUACAAUCUUUGAAGAGGAUAAGAGAAACUCACUUUUACUAGAAAAGAAAA